CCUACGGGAGGCAGCAGUGAGGAAUAUUGGUCAAUGGACGCGAGUCUGAACCAGCCAUGCAGCGUGCAGGAAGACUGCUCUAUGAGUUGUAAACUGCUUUUGUACAGGAAUAAACGCAGAUACAUGUAUCUGUCUGAAAGUAUCGUACGAAUAAGGAUCGGCUAACUCCGUGCCAGCAGCCGCGGUAAUACGGAGGAUUCAAGCGUUAUCCGGAUUUAUUGGGUUUAAAGGGUGCGUAGGCGGUCGGAUAAGUUAGAGGUGAAAUUUUGAGGCUCAACUGCGGAAUUGCCACUGAUACUGGUCGGCUAGAGAGUAGUUGCGGUAGGCGGAAUGCAUGGUGUAGCGGUGAAAUGCUUAGAUAUCACACAGAACACCGAUUGCGAAGGCAGCCUACUAAGCUACCUCUGACGUUGAGGCACGAAAGCGUGGGUAUCAAACAGGAUUAGAUACCCGGGUAGUC
This 460-nucleotide ribosomal RNA is filed under the name uncultured bacterium. RNAcentral's name for it is "partial 16S ribosomal RNA". It matches the Rfam family "Bacterial small subunit ribosomal RNA", at positions 338 to 795 of the family's 1533-position model. The record is from RNAcentral.